UACGUAGGUGGCAAGCGUUGUCCGGAUUUAUUGGGUUUAAAGGGUGCGUAGGCGGCCUGAUAAGUCAGUGCUGAAAUACCCCGGCUUAACCGGGGGGGUGGCAUUGAUACUGUCGGGCUUGAGUACAGAUGAGGUAGGCGGAAUUGACGGUGUAGCGGUGAAAUGCAUAGAUAUCGUCAAGAACACCUAUAGCGAAGGCAGCUUACUGGGCUGUAACUGACGCUGAGGCACGAAAGUGUGGGGAUCAAACAGG
This 253-nucleotide ribosomal RNA is filed under the name uncultured bacterium. RNAcentral's name for it is "partial 16S ribosomal RNA". It matches the Rfam family "Bacterial small subunit ribosomal RNA", at positions 524 to 776 of the family's 1533-position model. The record is from RNAcentral.